This 376-nucleotide ribosomal RNA is filed under the name uncultured bacterium. RNAcentral's name for it is "bacterial SSU rRNA". It matches the Rfam family "Bacterial small subunit ribosomal RNA", at positions 524 to 898 of the family's 1533-position model. The record is from RNAcentral.
UACGUAGGUGGCAAGCGUUGUCCGGAUUUACUGGGCGUAAAGGGAGCGUAGGCGGAUACUUAAGUGGGAUGUGAAAUACCUGGGCUUAACUUGGGUGCUGCAUUCCAAACUGGGUGUCUAGAGUGUUGGAGAGGAAAGUGGAAUUCCUAGUGUAGCGGUGAAAUGCGUAGAGAUUAGGAAGAACACCAGUGGCGAAGGCGACUUUCUGGACAAUAACUGACGCUGAGGCUCGAAAGCGUGGGGAGCAAACAGGAUUUGAUACCCUGGUAGUCCCCGCCGUAAACGAUGGGUACUAGGUGUAGGGGGUAUCGACUCCCCCUGUGCCGCCGUUAACCCAAUAAGUACCCCGCCUGGGGAGUACGGUCGCAAGAUUAAA